RNAcentral lists this ribosomal RNA (399 nucleotides) under uncultured bacterium. Its description in RNAcentral is "bacterial SSU rRNA". It matches the Rfam family "Bacterial small subunit ribosomal RNA", at positions 29 to 416 of the family's 1533-position model. The record is from RNAcentral.
AGCGAACGUUAGCGGCGGGCUUAACACAUGCAAGUCGAGCGAGAAAGUGGCUUCGGCCAUCAGUAAAGCGGCGGACGGGUGAGUAACACGUAGGUAAUCUUCCCUUGAGCGGGGGACAACGUUUCGAAAGGAACGCUAAUACCGCAUAAGUUUCCAGGGACUCUGGUUCCUGGAAGGAAAGCUAGGUCGCAAGAUCCGGCACUCGAGGAGGAGCCUGCGUCGCAUCAGCUAGUUGGUGGGGAAUGGCCUACCAAGGCGAAGACGCGUAGCUGGUCUGAGAGGAUGAUCAGCCACACUGGGACUGAGACACGGCCCAGACUCCUACGGGAGGCAGCAGUGGGGAAUAUUGGACAAUGGGCGCAAGCCUGAUCCAGCCACGCCGCGUGAGUGAUGAAGGCC